UCAGGACGAACGCUGGCGGCGUGCUUAACACAUGCAAGUCGAACGGAAAGGCCCUGCUUUUGUGGGGUGCUCGAGUGGCGAACGGGUGAGUAACACGUGAGUAACCUGCCCUUGACUUUGGGAUAACUUCAGGAAACUGGGGCUAAUACCGGAUAGGAGCUCCUGCUGCAUGGUGGGGGUUGGAAAGUUUCGGCGGUUGGGGAUGGACUCGCGGCUUAUCAGCUUGUUGGUGGGGUAGUGGCUUACCAAGGCUUUGACGGGUAGCCGGCCUGAGAGGGUGACCGGCCACAUUGGGACUGAGAUACGGCCCAGACUCCUACGGGAGGCAGCAGUGGGGAAUAUUGCACAAUGGGCGGAAGCCUGAUGCAGCAACGCCGCGUGCGGGAUGACGGCCUUCGGGUUGUAAACCGCUUUCGCCUGUGACGAAGCGUGAGUGACGGUAAUGGGUAAAGAAGCACCGGCUAACUACGUGCCAGCAGCCGCGGUGAUACGUAGGGUGCGAGCGUUGUCCGGAUUUAUUGGGCGUAAAGGGCUCGUAGGUGGUUGAUCGCGUCGGAAGUGUAAUCUUGGGGCUUAACCCUGAGCGUGCUUUCGAUACGGGUUGACUUGAGGAAGGUAGGGGAGAAUGGAAUUCCUGGUGGAGCGGUGGAAUGCGCAGAUAUCAGGAGGAACACCAGUGGCGAAGGCGGUUCUCUGGGCCUUUCCUGACGCUGAGGAGCGAAAGCGUGGGGAGCGAACAGGCUUAGAUACCCUGGUAGUCCACGCUGUAAACGGUGGGUACUAGGUGUGGGGUCCAUUCCACGGGUUCCGUGCCGUAGCUAACGCUUUAAGUACCCCGCCUGGGGAGUACGGCCGCAAGGCUAAAACUCAAAGGAAUUGACGGGGCCCCGCACAAGCGGCGGAGCAUGCGGAUUAAUUCGAUGCAACGCGUAGAACCUUACCUGGGUUUGACAUGGAUCGGGAGUGCUCAGAGAUGGGUGUGCCUCUUUUGGGGUCGGUUCACAGGUGGUGCAUGGCUGUCGUCAGCUCGUGUCGUGAGAUGUUGGGUUAAGUCCCGCAACGAGCGCAACCCUUGUUCACUGUUGCCAGCACGUUAUGGUGGGGACUCAGUGGAGACCGCCGGGGUCAACUCGGAGGAAGGUGGGGAUGACGUCAAGUCAUCAUGCCCCUUAUGUCCAGGGCUUCACGCAUGCUACAAUGGCUGGUACAGAGAGUGGCGAGCCUGUGAGGGUGAGCGAAUCUCGGAAAGCCGGUCUCAGUUCGGAUUGGGGUCUGCAACUCGACCUCAUGAAGUCGGAGUCGCUAGUAAUCGCAGAUCAGCAACGCUGCGGUGAAUACGUUCCCGGGGCUUGUACACACCGCCCGUCAAGUCAUGAAAGUUGGUAACACCCGAAGCCGGUGGCCUAACCGUUGUGGGGGAGCCGUCGAAGGUGGGACUGGUG
This 1442-nucleotide ribosomal RNA is filed under the name uncultured organism. RNAcentral describes it as "16S ribosomal RNA". It matches the Rfam family "Bacterial small subunit ribosomal RNA". The record is from RNAcentral.